GCGGGUAUGGUGUUCAACGGUAGCACGCUGUCCUUCCAAGUCAUAGGUAGGGGUUCGAGUCCCCUUACCCGCU
Molecule: transfer RNA, 73 nt
Filed under: Candidatus Bathyarchaeota archaeon
Lineage: Archaea; Thermoproteati; Candidatus Bathyarchaeota
Description: tRNA-Gly
Rfam family: tRNA
About the family: Transfer RNA (tRNA) molecules are approximately 80 nucleotides in length. Their secondary structure includes four short double-helical elements and three loops (D, anti-codon, and T loops). Further hydrogen bonds mediate the characteristic L-shaped molecular structure. tRNAs have two regions of fundamental functional importance: the anti-codon, which is responsible for specific mRNA codon recognition, and the 3' end, to which the tRNAs corresponding amino acid is attached (by aminoacyl-tRNA synthetases). tRNAs cope with the degeneracy of the genetic code in two manners: having more than one tRNA (with a specific anti-codon) for a particular amino acid; and 'wobble' base-pairing, i.e. permitting non-standard base-pairing at the 3rd anti-codon position.
Source: RNAcentral